Molecule: ribosomal RNA, 255 nt
Filed under: uncultured bacterium
Lineage: Bacteria
Description: partial 16S rRNA
Rfam family: Bacterial small subunit ribosomal RNA
Source: RNAcentral
GUGCCAGCAGCCGCGGUAAUACGUAGGUGGCAAGCGUUGUCCGGAUUUACUGGGCGUAAAGGAUGUGUAGGCGGAUAUUUAAGUGAGAUGUGAAAUCCUCGGGCUUAACUUGGGGGCUGCAUUUCAAACUGGAUGUCUGGAGUGCAGGAGAGGAAGGCAGAAUUCCUAGUGUAGCGGUAAAAUGCGUAGAGAUUAGGAAGAAUACCAGUGGCGAAGGCGGCGUUCUGGACUUUAACUGACGCUGAGGCAUGAAAG